AGUGAUAGCGGUUGUCGAAGCCGUAAAAAAUAAACCUAUUAUCAAUCAACAAAUAAAUUUGUAGAUAAUGGCAAUAGGGUCGAACCACAGGGAUUUGACACCAAAUAUCUUCCUAAUAAUGACUAAGGCAAGUAAAUAGCAAAAAUAAAAAGGGGGUUUUGUUUUGAAGAUGUACUAAAGCUAAUUAACAAUAGAAAGCAAAUAAUUUAAAGAUGAGUAAACCAAUAAGAG
RNAcentral lists this long non-coding RNA (231 nucleotides) under Manihot esculenta (cassava). RNAcentral's name for it is "long non-coding RNA (MESC_LNC003875)". The record is from RNAcentral. Lineage: Eukaryota; Viridiplantae; Streptophyta; Magnoliopsida; Malpighiales; Euphorbiaceae.